RNAcentral lists this ribosomal RNA (1532 nucleotides) under Klebsiella pneumoniae. Its description in RNAcentral is "bacterial SSU rRNA". It matches the Rfam family "Bacterial small subunit ribosomal RNA". Lineage: Bacteria; Pseudomonadati; Pseudomonadota; Gammaproteobacteria; Enterobacterales; Enterobacteriaceae. The record is from RNAcentral.
UUGAAGAGUUUGAUCAUGGCUCAGAUUGAACGCUGGCGGCAGGCCUAACACAUGCAAGUCGAGCGGUAGCACAGAGAGCUUGCUCUCGGGUGACGAGCGGCGGACGGGUGAGUAAUGUCUGGGAAACUGCCUGAUGGAGGGGGAUAACUACUGGAAACGGUAGCUAAUACCGCAUAAUGUCGCAAGACCAAAGUGGGGGACCUUCGGGCCUCAUGCCAUCAGAUGUGCCCAGAUGGGAUUAGCUAGUAGGUGGGGUAACGGCUCACCUAGGCGACGAUCCCUAGCUGGUCUGAGAGGAUGACCAGCCACACUGGAACUGAGACACGGUCCAGACUCCUACGGGAGGCAGCAGUGGGGAAUAUUGCACAAUGGGCGCAAGCCUGAUGCAGCCAUGCCGCGUGUGUGAAGAAGGCCUUCGGGUUGUAAAGCACUUUCAGCGGGGAGGAAGGCGUUAAGGUUAAUAACCUUGGCGAUUGACGUUACCCGCAGAAGAAGCACCGGCUAACUCCGUGCCAGCAGCCGCGGUAAUACGGAGGGUGCAAGCGUUAAUCGGAAUUACUGGGCGUAAAGCGCACGCAGGCGGUCUGUCAAGUCGGAUGUGAAAUCCCCGGGCUCAACCUGGGAACUGCAUUCGAAACUGGCAGGCUAGAGUCUUGUAGAGGGGUAGAAUUCCGUGUAGCGGUGAAAUGCGUAGAGAUCUGGAGGAAUACCGGUGGCGAAGGCGGCCCCCUGGACAAAGACUGACGCUCAGGUGCGAAAGCGUGGGGAGCAAACAGGAUUAGAUACCCUGGUAGUCCACGCCGUAAACGAUGUCGAUUUGGAGGUUGUGCCCUUGAGGCGUGGCUUCCGGAGCUAACGCGUUAAAUCGACCGCCUGGGGAGUACGGCCGCAAGGUUAAAACUCAAAUGAAUUGACGGGGGCCCGCACAAGCGGUGGAGCAUGUGGUUUAAUUCGAUGCAACGCGAAGAACCUUACCUGGUCUUGACAUCCACAGAACUUAGCAGAGAUGCUUUGGUGCCUUCGGGAACUGUGAGACAGGUGCUGCAUGGCUGUCGUCAGCUCGUGUUGUGAAAUGUUGGGUUAAGUCCCGCAACGAGCGCAACCCUUAUCCUUUGUUGCCAGCGGUCCGGCCGGGAACUCAAAGGAGACUGCCAGUGAUAAACUGGAGGAAGGUGGGGAUGACGUCAAGUCAUCAUGGCCCUUACGACCAGGGCUACACACGUGCUACAAUGGCAUAUACAAAGAGAAGCGACCUCGCGAGAGCAAGCGGACCUCAUAAAGUAUGUCGUAGUCCGGAUUGGAGUCUGCAACUCGACUCCAUGAAGUCGGAAUCGCUAGUAAUCGUAGAUCAGAAUGCUACGGUGAAUACGUUCCCGGGCCUUGUACACACCGCCCGUCACACCAUGGGAGUGGGUUGCAAAAGAAGUAGGUAGCUUAACCUUCGGGAGGGCGCUUACCACUUUGUGAUUCAUGACUGGGGUGAAGUCGUAACAAGGUAACCGUAGGGGAACCUGCGGUUGGAUCACCUCCUU